Long non-coding RNA from Octopus bimaculoides (California two-spot octopus), 747 nucleotides. Lineage: Eukaryota; Metazoa; Mollusca; Cephalopoda; Octopoda; Octopodidae. The record is from RefSeq and is a predicted model, not a curated record.
CAUUUGAAAUGUUUCUCAUACUCCUACCUCACUGACAAAAAAUAAAAAUUAAAAUUCCCAGUAGGACUGUUAUUAACAAAAGAAAUGAACUAGGUUUUUUUGUGAUAAGUCUACCAAAAAUUCAACUGACAGUAAUAUAACCAAAGGAAGUUACCAGCCAUAAACUGUAAAUUGUAAUGUUGGUCCAUCUCUACUUUCAGGCAUCUAGUAAAGGCAUCUGUAUUAACUGUGCGAGAUUCAGGUACCUGGUGGCUUUCUAUCCCUAAUGCUGGUAUUUUUAUGAAAAAUUUAAUUCGAGGCCGGAAAGCUGCCAUUACAAUUAUUAAGAAAACAAAAUACAAAGAAAUUUUCAAAGAUGAUCUGGAACAACGGAAGUGGCCUCGUCUAGCUAGGUUGGGUAUAGUCUACCAUAUUCAUGAUAUUAUUGGUGCUGACUUGGUUGACUGCAUCCAAACCACAAAUGGAAUCUUGUUGCGACUGCGUGAAUGAUGCGACUGCAUGAUAUGUUGCAAGCAUCAGCUUGUGGGUCAAAGAUUAAUGAUCUUAUUCCUCCAUCUGGAUUAGAUCGACAACCACCACCACCGCUGCCACCACCACCACCACUAUUAACUACUUUAACUUCUACUUCAGUUUGAUAACAAGCACUUGGAGAAUCUCUCGGAUUCAAGGCAGCGGUAUAUUGGAUUUGAGCCAAGAGACUAUCAGUGUGGGCCACCCUACUCUGCCUCUGUUUUACAGUAUUUUCUU